This is a long non-coding RNA of Mastomys coucha (southern multimammate mouse), 1638 nucleotides long. RefSeq lists it as uncharacterized. Lineage: Eukaryota; Metazoa; Chordata; Mammalia; Rodentia; Muridae. The transcript has 3 exons. The record is from RefSeq and is a predicted model, not a curated record.
CGUGAAACGCGCUUUAAUUGCUUCAAAGGGUCCUUCUCAAUGGGGUUUCAGAGGCGCGGGAGCGGGUCCCCGGCGAGGGCUCCUUUCCGGCUGGCCAGCAUUCCUGGGCGCUGCGAGGGGAGAGCCCGCGGCUCAUUUCCAUGCCUGUCGCAUACUGCCUCCGUUGUGCCGGGCAGGGCCGCGAGGGGAGCGCGGCUGGCAGCGAACAAAGCCCCAUUCAUCCCCGGGGACGGCUUCCUCCCGGACCAGCCGUGGCCGCAGAUGGGCUGGCUCGGGCACGCCAUCCAUCUCCAGGCCGGGGAGCGCGGCCCCGCCCGCGCACAGAGCGGUGAUGCAGGGCGCCCCCGGGCUGCGGUACCCAGGCCUCCAUGGAGGGGGAGAGGCUGUGCCGGGACAGGCGAACACUGAGGCUUUUCAGCCGGGAAAUCCCGUGUCCUCGCCGGCUCCUUGAGAGCGAGGAUGUCAGUUUCCACCUCCCUCUUCCCCACUCCCGCCCCCCGGGAUGGUACGGUCCGUCUUCCCCGGUUGUGAAGGGACUUUGUUUCUCCUCUGUGGCCUCUGCAGUCCCCACGAAAGGGUCACUUCCUGACUUUUGUGUCUCUUCAAUCCAGUGCCUUCAAAGUUCCUCCCCUCUGGUUGUGACUAAGUACAUAAUUGCGAGGCUUAUCCAUAAGAUUUUUCAGAAUUCAAACACCCCUCCAGACUCCAUGCACUUUUCCCUCGGUUCCACGUGUUAGACCCCACGACCCCACCACCAGAGAAAGCUACAGAACUCUAACGUCAAACAGAAGCCCGGCUGGGUCACUUUUCCUUCACUUUGAGGAAGCCCCUCCAGGCUGGGAUUCACAGCCCAAGACAGAAACAGGCUCCAGACACAUACCUCCCCAGCGGAUGCAACAGGGCAUGGCAGGAUCAAAAAGCCACCAGACACUGGGGAGACUGGCUCCAAUCUAUCCAUCUUCCAGAUAAGAAUCGAUAAGAUCGGAGAGGGGAAAGGAUUUGUUCACCUCGGGCGGAAGCUGGUUCAUCUCGGUAAAAGACAAAAAGCGCCCUCAAAAACACAAUUUAAAAAAAAAAAAAAAGUCUUCAAGAAAAAUUAUUCGCCAAGUAAACUUGCCUUUUUCUGCUUAUACGAAAAGAGACCUCUCCUCCAGUGCGUGAGAAUUGCUCCUGUGUUUCUUUUACUUCCUGCAUUUUGAACACCACUGGCCUCUCUCCAAAACAGACCUCUUUCCUCUCGAAGAGAAUGAAAACCUUCAAAAUGUUCACAAGCAGAUAGAGUGAUUCUGCGCUCGUUAUUUCUGAAGUGGUUGCCUCAAACGUUACCGGUCAUCAUGGCAGAAGGGAGAAGAGAACACUGGAAAGUAAUUAGAGCAAUAAUGAGUGGUCGGAUGGAAAUACAGAAUGACAUCACCCUACAAAGCUCUUAAGAACCAAUUCAUGCUCCAGCCACUAACUCCAAGGACUAUAAAGCCAGGACCUGUAUGUAAUCCUGCUUUGUCCCCAGUCUGGGGAACACCAGAGGGUUAGGGUUAGGUCUGAAAAUGCAUGUAACCAGCAUUAAUGAGGACCAUCAAAUAACCCAGCUUUCUUUCCAUAGGAUAAAAAAAAAAUACCAAUCAUUUUUGAGACCUCCAA